Molecule: transfer RNA, 72 nt
Filed under: Camelus bactrianus (Bactrian camel)
Lineage: Eukaryota; Metazoa; Chordata; Mammalia; Artiodactyla; Camelidae
Also listed under: 2 other names
Rfam family: tRNA
About the family: Transfer RNA (tRNA) molecules are approximately 80 nucleotides in length. Their secondary structure includes four short double-helical elements and three loops (D, anti-codon, and T loops).
Source: Rfam by way of RNAcentral
GAGGGUAUAGCUCAGAGGUAGAGCUUUUGCUUAGCAUUUACAAGGUCCUGGGUUCAAUUCCCAGUACCUCUG